RNAcentral lists this long non-coding RNA (239 nucleotides) under Elaeis guineensis (African oil palm). RNAcentral's name for it is "long non-coding RNA (EGUI_LNC036575)". Lineage: Eukaryota; Viridiplantae; Streptophyta; Magnoliopsida; Arecales; Arecaceae. The record is from RNAcentral.
UUAGUAUGGUUGUCUACUCCAUGUAGCAUGUCAUUUUAUAUGAUAUCAGAGCUCAAGUUUUGUUGUUAAUAGCCCACAUAUUUGUAGCUCUAUCUGGUGUCAAAGUUAUAAGCUUGAAGAAUGAUCGAGCGAUUUACGACUUUGAUCAGAUUUGUUCAAAGUAUAAUUCUUAAAGCGGUAAUUUGAUUGUUAGUGACUUCUGUGUUCAUAGCUCAAUAUAGUUGAAGAACUCCUAGUAA